RNAcentral lists this ribosomal RNA (253 nucleotides) under uncultured bacterium. RNAcentral describes it as "partial 16S ribosomal RNA". It matches the Rfam family "Bacterial small subunit ribosomal RNA", at positions 524 to 776 of the family's 1533-position model. The record is from RNAcentral.
UACGAAGGGGGCUAGCGUUGCUCGGAAUCACUGGGCGUAAAGCGCACGUAGGCGGAUUGUUAAGUCAGGGGUGAGAUCCUGGAGCUCAACUCCAGAACUGCCUUUGAUACUGGCGAUCUCGAGUCCGGGAGAGGUGAGUGGAACUGCGAGUGUAGAGGUGAAAUUCGUAGAUAUUCGCAAGAACACCAGUGGCGAAGGCGGCUCACUGGCCCGGUACUGACGCUGAGGUGCGAAAGCGUGGGGAGCAAACAGG